Molecule: ribosomal RNA, 482 nt
Filed under: uncultured bacterium
Lineage: Bacteria
Description: partial 16S ribosomal RNA
Rfam family: Bacterial small subunit ribosomal RNA
Source: RNAcentral
GACGAACGCUGGCGGCGUGCUUAACACAUGCAAGUCGAACGAUGAAGAAGAGAAACGCGAACUUCGGUUCAAAUUUCACUUCGGAUUAGUGGCAGACGGGUGAGUAACGCGUGAGCAACCUACCUCUUACAAAGGGAUAGCCUCGGGAAACCGUGAUUAAUACCAUAUGACACAUUCAUAAGGCAUCUUAAGAAUGUUAAAGCUACGGCGGUAAGAGAUGGGCUCGCGUCCCAUUAGCUAGUUGGUGAGGUAACGGCCCACCAAGGCGACGAUGGGUAACCUGCCUGAGAGAGUGAACCGUCACACUGGAACUGGGACACGGUCCAGACUCCUACGGGAUGCAGCAGUGGGGAACAGUGCACCAUGGAGGGAGCUCUGAUGCAGCGACGCCGCGUGAGCGAUGAAAGUAUUCGUGUCGUAAAGCUCUGUUCUAUGGGAAGAAAAGGACUGUACCAUAGGAGAAAGCCCCGGCUAAAUACGUG